CAACUUGAGAGUUUGAUCCUGGCUCAGAACGAACGCUGGCGGCAGGCCUAACACAUGCAAGUCGAACGCUCGUAGCAAUACGGGAGUGGCAGACGGGUGCGUAACGCGUGGGAACAUACCCUUUGGUUCGGAAUAACUCAGGGAAACUUGAGCUAAUACCGGAUACGCCCGAGAGGGGAAAGAUUUAUUGCCGAAGGAUUGGCCCGCGUCUGAUUAGCUUGUUGGUAGGGUAACGGCCUACCAAGGCGACGAUCAGUAGCUGGUCUGAGAGGAUGAUCAGCCACACUGGGACUGAGA
This 297-nucleotide ribosomal RNA is filed under the name Rhodoblastus sp. RNAcentral describes it as "partial 16S ribosomal RNA". It matches the Rfam family "Bacterial small subunit ribosomal RNA", at positions 1 to 324 of the family's 1533-position model. The record is from RNAcentral. Lineage: Bacteria; Pseudomonadati; Pseudomonadota; Alphaproteobacteria; Hyphomicrobiales; Rhodoblastaceae.